This 468-nucleotide ribosomal RNA is filed under the name uncultured bacterium. Its description in RNAcentral is "partial 16S ribosomal RNA". It matches the Rfam family "Bacterial small subunit ribosomal RNA", at positions 28 to 507 of the family's 1533-position model. The record is from RNAcentral.
GACGAACGCUGGCGGCGUGCUUAACACAUGCAAGUCGAACGGAAAGGCCCUGCUUUUGUGGGGUGCUCGAGUGGCGAACGGGUGAGUAACACGUGAGUAACCUGCCCUUGACUUUGGGAUAACUUCAGGAAACUGGGGCUAAUACCGGAUAGGAGCUCCUGCUGCAUGGUGGGGGUUGGAAAGUUUCGGCGGUUGGGGAUGGACUCGCGGCUUAUCAGUUUGUUGGUGGGGUAGUGGCUUACCAAGGCUUUGACGGGUAGCCGGCCUGAGAGGGUGACCGGCCACAUUGGGACUGAGAUACGGCCCAGACUCCUACGGGAGGCAGCAGUGGGGAAUAUUGCACAAUGGGCGGAAGCCUGAUGCAGCAACGCCACGUGCGGGAUGACGGCCUUCGGGUUGUAAACCGCUUCCGCCUGUGACGAAGCGUGAGUGACGGUAAUGGGUAAAGAAGCACCGGCUAACUACGUG